AGUAAUCACUGUCCAGUGUCUGGGACACCCACAAGUCUUCCCUACCUGCCCUGAAUUGUUAGAGAAAAUAAAAGUGGCUGCCUUGAAGGUAGCCAGAGGCCCCAAGGUUAUAGGAGAGCAGAGAUUUGCCCCUGCUGGCUCUCUGAGAGGGUUGCCAUAGAGACAGAAGGAAAGAUGAGUCCAGCCUGUAUAAGUUGCCAUAUUUGGGCAAAACCCUCAGAUACUGCCUCCUCAGUGUGUUACUUUUGGAGAGAAAUGAUUAUUUCCUAAUAAUCUCCUACUAUACAAAAGAAUUUUCUAAUUAGAGGAAAAGGGAGGGAUAGCAUUUUUCUUGGGUAGGGAGGGAGAGGGAAGAAUGCAUCUGAGUGCUGGUGCAAAUCACACAAGCUUUGGAAUUGGCCAAGUCAGACACCAAACUAUGCUUCCAGCGCUCACGAGCUAUGUCCUUUCAGACAAAGGAUGCUACUUCUGAGCCUCAGUUUCCUCACGGCAAUGUGAGUAGAGUAACACCUCUCCUACAGGGCAGCAUAGAAGCAUUUAGGGAAUGUGUCCAUCUCUGGAUUUCUGCUUC
RNAcentral lists this long non-coding RNA (571 nucleotides) under Homo sapiens (human). RNAcentral describes it as "non-protein coding lnc-TMEM18-15:1". Lineage: Eukaryota; Metazoa; Chordata; Mammalia; Primates; Hominidae. The record is from RNAcentral.